This 253-nucleotide ribosomal RNA is filed under the name uncultured bacterium. Its description in RNAcentral is "partial 16S ribosomal RNA". It matches the Rfam family "Bacterial small subunit ribosomal RNA", at positions 524 to 776 of the family's 1533-position model. The record is from RNAcentral.
UACAGAGGCCUCGAGCGUUAGGCGGAAUCACUGGGCUUAGAGCGUGUGUAGGCGGACUUCUAAGUACCUUGUGAAAUCCCACGGCUCACCCGUGGAACUGCUUGGUAUACUGGUUGUCUUGAGCCUUCUAGGGGCGAGUGGAACAAAUGGUGGAGCGGUGAAAUGCGUAGAUAUCAUUUGGAACGCCAAUGGUGAAAACAACUCGCUGGGGAAGUGCUGACGCUGAGACACGAAAGCCAGGGGAGCGAACGGG